This 318-nucleotide ribosomal RNA is filed under the name Triticum aestivum (bread wheat). RNAcentral's name for it is "partial small subunit ribosomal RNA". Lineage: Eukaryota; Viridiplantae; Streptophyta; Magnoliopsida; Poales; Poaceae. The record is from RNAcentral.
AUGGAAAAGUGGGAGCGAGCAAUAUGGAACAACUGGCCGAGUGAGUCUCAGCGGCAAGGAAGAGAAAAUGCAUCAGAGUCGAUUUGUUCACGCCAUGCACCCUGUGAUGAGGACAUCAAUACCAUUGUUAGACCCACAGUCUCUGCUGCUAUAUAUACUGGACCAAUUACUAGAGCUCGCGCACGCCAAUUAAAUUAUCAGGUAUUUUCGUUUCUUGGUAAUGAUUCUAAUGUUCAUGAGAAUAUGAUGCUGCCUAAAUUGGAUACAUUUGUUUUGCUUACAAAUGAAGGGCCUAACUUGAAGAAGGAUGAACAUUGA